GCCCCUCAAGAAUCUAGAAGGGGCUGGCGGUGGUGGUGCACGCCUUUAAUACCAGCACUCGGGAGGCAGAGGCAAGCGGAUCUCUGUGAGUUCAAGGCCAGCCUGGGCUACAGAGAUAUCAUUUAGAAAUAGUGGUUGCAAGUCAUCAGCUCUGAAAAAAAGACGAAUGAAGAUUGGCAACUGCCUGUCAAGGGUGGACUCCCCCAUAGAGGGAAAGGGAUGGCCAAAGCCUCACCUGCAUGUGCCCAAGAAUCUGUGUCAUUACUUGUGCCACUGUGAGCAGUGACAACAGAAGAGCAGCUCCAGGAACUGCAGACCUACUGCACGUAGACAACUCAUUUCACACUCUCGAGAACUCCACUUUACAGACCAGGACAGAGGCUUAAGAUAGGAUGUGAAUUCACUGUAACAGGAGGACUCCACAGUCCCUGGAGAGCAGGUGGCAUAUCUUCUGCCUGCGAAUAGUGUAGACAGGACAAGUGGCUAUGACUACUGCCAACCAGCGGGUGCUUCUGUAGGUGUUCUGGAGAGGGCCAUCUUCCCCAGGGAGGGUGGAGAGCAGGCGAGCAGGGACGCUGUCCACUUUGUGCUGUAAAUCCUCAGGGCUGGACCUGUGACUGGCACGUGUCAGAUGGUUAAUAUUAACUGUAAGAAUGUGGCUGCACAAAGGCUCCUGAGGGAAUGGGGAUGCUGUGUUUGGAUGUCAUGGCACUAAGCUGCCAGAAGGGCUGAAACCAAGCUAUGAUCACAAAGUGCAACCCUAGCCACAAGUGGAGUACUUUCUGAGUGCAGAAGCCCGGCUCACUCCCACAGCAGCCCACAGGUCUGUCCAAUGGCCAUCCACAUGUCUCUUCGUCUACUUGAGUCUCAUGAGGAACAGUGAAGUCAAGGAACUUCCUUGUCACUCAGCUAUAUUGACAGCAGAACCAGAAUGUUAGCCCUGCCCAUUUCACAGGCUGCUGCGGUGGAUUCCAGGAUAGAACAGACCUAAGAGGGAUCAGCCGCAACUUCAAGGCUUUCCAUUCUUCAGAUGGAACUGCCAGCUUCUUUCUGUGACAGAGGAAUGGGGACAUCACAGAGAUGGUAACAGAGGGAGCUGCCCACCCCUGCUCAACACCUGUCAAGGGCUCCUGCUGCCCCUGGGGUGAAGCACAAGGCCUUUAUCUGGGGACACCUGUUCCUUGGAGAUCUAGCCAAGCCCACCUCUCUGGCAGAGGAUUCUCACUCUGUUCACUGCCACCCACAUCAAGUAUUCCAGACUCAGAGGAGUACCUUCCAGCCCUGAACCAGCAAG
Long non-coding RNA from Peromyscus eremicus (cactus mouse), 1294 nucleotides. RefSeq lists it as uncharacterized. Lineage: Eukaryota; Metazoa; Chordata; Mammalia; Rodentia; Cricetidae. The record is from RefSeq and is a predicted model, not a curated record. The transcript is spliced from 4 exons.